Molecule: unclassified non-coding RNA, 602 nt
Filed under: Hevea brasiliensis (rubber tree)
Lineage: Eukaryota; Viridiplantae; Streptophyta; Magnoliopsida; Malpighiales; Euphorbiaceae
Source: RNAcentral
GACCAUUAUGGUUUGCAUCUUGCCCCACUACAGUAAGCAAGGUUGGAUUUAGUUUCUUGAUUGCUUGAAGAACUGCCUUGAAGUAGCCUCUACUCUCUUUGGCAAAAUUGUCCCCUUCCCUCAAGUUCAGAUUCUCCCUAGUUAAAAGUGAUGGUGUAAUUGACUCUGAUAUCAUGUUAAACUCUAACGAGACGCCUAGUGAACUAGCAUCCUCUACAAGCGCGUUCAUGCUAGCUUCAAGCUCUAAUAAAUUUUGCUCAUUGAUUAAAUCCUGUGAUUCGGAAUCUAGGUGGCCCCUCAGGUGUUGAUGCUAGACUUCUGAUAAACGAAGGCCACUGAAGGGUUUGAUCCAUUCCAAGAUCAAUCACAUGCAGUGAGUCCUUCCCUUUUGCUGCUUGACACAUUCGUUUGCAGCCAUGAAACCAAAAGCAAUGUGAGGAGUUGUUUGGUAAAGGAGUUGAAAGGCUUCCAUUUUCUCCCCCGUAGCGAUGAAUGAGACAACCAUGCCCCUAUUUGUGAAUGUACCAUAGGCAUUGACGGUAUGAAAAAGUGACAAUCUGGACUUCAAACCAGUUGCAAAGCAAUAGCAAAGUCUUUGCAAG